ACCGUGCUAAGGUAGCAUAAUCAUUUGCCUCUUAAUUGGUGGCUAGUAUGAAUGGACACACGCAAGCACUACUGUCUCAUUAAUAUAAAUAAAAAUUAGCAUUCAGGUGAAGAGACCUGAAUAAAAUAAAAAGACAAAAAGACCCUAUGGAGCUUUAUUUUAACCCCAUUCACUAUACAAUAUUAAUAAAACAUACUUAUGGCUACAAAAUUUAGUUGGGGCGACUCAGGAAAACUAUAAAUCUUCCUUCACCUACAAGAAAAUAACUCUUCCUAUGAUCCGCUUUGCGAAUAUAAACCUAGCUACCCUAGGGAUAACAGGCUAAUUCUUCUCGAGAGCCCGAAUUGACAGAAGAGAUUGGCACCUCG
This 368-nucleotide ribosomal RNA is filed under the name Laonice cf. vieitzi MB. RNAcentral describes it as "partial 16S ribosomal RNA". It matches the Rfam family "Bacterial large subunit ribosomal RNA", at positions 1945 to 2528 of the family's 2925-position model. The record is from RNAcentral. Lineage: Eukaryota; Metazoa; Annelida; Polychaeta; Spionida; Spionidae.